UACAGAGGGGGCUAGCGUUGUUCGGAAUUACUGGGCGUAAAGGGCGCGUAGGUGGCCUGUUAAGUCGAACGUGAAAUCCCCGGGCUCAACCCGGGAACUGCGUCCGAGACUGGCAGGCUCGAAUCCGGGAGAGGGAUGUGGAAUUCCAGGUGUAGCGGUGAAAUGCGUAGAUGUCUGGAGGAACACCGGUGGCGAAGGCGGCAUCCUGGACCGGUAUUGACGCUGAGGCGCGAAAGCCAGGGGAGCAAACGGG
Molecule: ribosomal RNA, 253 nt
Filed under: uncultured bacterium
Lineage: Bacteria
Description: partial 16S ribosomal RNA
Rfam family: Bacterial small subunit ribosomal RNA
Source: RNAcentral